GAUGAACGCUGGCGGCGUGCCUAAUACAUGCAAGUCGAACGAGUUCUGAUUAUUGAAAGGUGCUUGCAUCUUGAUUUAAUUUUGAACGAGUGGCGGACGGGUGAGUAACACGUGGGUAACCUGCCCUUAAGUGGGGGAUAACAUUUGGAAACAGAUGCUAAUACCGCAUAAAUCCAAAAACCGCAUGGUUCUUGGCUGAAAGAUGGCGUAAGCUAUCGCUUUUGGAUGGACCCGCGGCGUAUUAGCUAGUUGGUGAGGUAACGGCUCACCAAGGCAAUGAUACGUAGCCGAACUGAGAGGUUGAUCGGCCACAUUGGGACUGAGACACGGCCCAAACUCCUACGGGAGGCAGCAGUAGGGAAUCUUCCACAAUGGACGCAAGUCUGAUGGAGCAACGCCGCGUGAGUGAAGAAGGCUUUCGGGUCGUAAAACUCUGUUGUUGGAGAAGAAUGGUCGGCAGAGUAACUGUUGUCGGCGUGACGGUAUCCAACCAGAAAGCCACGGCUAACUACGUGCCAGCAGCCGCGGUAAUACGUAGGUGGCAAGCGUUAUCCGGAUUUAUUGGGCGUAAAGCGAGCGCAGGCGGUUUUUUAAGUCUGAUGUGAAAGCCCUCGGCUUAACCGAGGAAGUGCAUCGGAAACUGGGAAACUUGAGUGCAGAAGAGGACAGUGGAACUCCAUGUGUAGCGGUGAAAUGCGUAGAUAUAUGGAAGAACACCAGUGGCGAAGGCGGCUGUCUGGUCUGUAACUGACGCUGAGGCUCGAAAGCAUGGGUAGCGAACAGGAUUAGAUACCCUGGUAGUCCAUGCCGUAAACGAUGAAUGCUAGGUGUUGGAGGGUUUCCGCCCUUCAGUGCCGCAGCUAACGCAUUAAGCAUUCCGCCUGGGGAGUACGACCGCAAGGUUGAAACUCAAAGGAAUUGACGGGGGCCCGCACAAGCGGUGGAGCAUGUGGUUUAAUUCGAAGCAACGCGAAGAACCUUACCAGGUCUUGACAUCUUUUGAUCACCUGAGAGAUCAGGUUUCCCCUUCGGGGGCAAAAUGACAGGUGGUGCAUGGUUGUCGUCAGCUCGUGUCGUGAGAUGUUGGGUUAAGUCCCGCAACGAGCGCAACCCUUAUGACUAGUUGCCAGCAUUUAGUUGGGCACUCUAGUAAGACUGCCGGUGACAAACCAGAGGAAGGUGGGGAUGACGUCAAAUCAUCAUGCCCCUUAUGACCUGGGCUACACACGUGCUACAAUGGAUGGUACAACGAGUUGCGAGACCGCGAGGUCAAGCUAAUCUCUUAAAGCCAUUCUCAGUUCGGACUGUAGGCUGCAACUCGCCUACACGAAGUCGGAAUCGCUAGUAAUCGCGGAUCAGCACGCCGCGGUGAAUACGUUCCCGGGCCUUGUACACACCGCCCGUCACACCAUGAGAGUUUGUAACACCCGAAGCCGGUGGCGUAACCCUUUUAGGGAGCGAGCCGUCUAAGGUGGGACAAAUGAUUAGGGUG
This 1492-nucleotide ribosomal RNA is filed under the name Lacticaseibacillus rhamnosus. Its description in RNAcentral is "bacterial SSU rRNA". It matches the Rfam family "Bacterial small subunit ribosomal RNA". Lineage: Bacteria; Bacillati; Bacillota; Bacilli; Lactobacillales; Lactobacillaceae. The record is from RNAcentral.